This 253-nucleotide ribosomal RNA is filed under the name uncultured bacterium. RNAcentral's name for it is "partial 16S ribosomal RNA". It matches the Rfam family "Bacterial small subunit ribosomal RNA", at positions 524 to 776 of the family's 1533-position model. The record is from RNAcentral.
UACGUAGGGUGCAAGCGUUGUCCGGAAUUAUUGGGCGUAAAGAGCUCGUAGGCGGUUUGUCGCGUCGGCUGUGAAAUCCCGAGGCUCAACCUCGGGCCUGCAGUCGAUACGGGCAAACUAGAGUGUGGUAGGGGAGACUGGAAUUCCUGGUGUAGCGGUGAAAUGCGCAGAUAUCAAGCGGAACACCGGUGGCGAAGGCGGCCUUCUGGACAGUGACUGACGCUGAGACGCGAAAGCGUGGGGAGCAAACAGG